Molecule: unclassified non-coding RNA, 575 nt
Filed under: Pogonomyrmex barbatus (red harvester ant)
Lineage: Eukaryota; Metazoa; Arthropoda; Insecta; Hymenoptera; Formicidae
Description: uncharacterized LOC105426074, transcript variant X2
Source: RNAcentral
AUGCCCCGUCAGACGUUAGAUGCUGAAAUACCGCCGCCAUUUUGUGUAACAGCUGUCGCUCAGCAAGUAGAUAGUAUAGCUUGCGGACGAGCUUAUUGUGGCUUAUCGAAUUAUUUGCUAAUUGUUCGGUGAUUCGUGUAGCGUGCAAAACGGGACAAUCGCGAAAAUGUAUAAUCGCAGUGUAAUCAGUGGUUUUAAAUUUACGUAGAUCGUAAUUAUUGAUACUUUUCUUGUUCAAUGAUUGCCUAUCCAAUGAUCAACUGUACAAUAGUUCAGCACGUUUACAUUUGAAUACAGAAGGAAACAUUUUGUCUGCAUUCUAACAUGGCUAGAGUUCUACCAUAUGAAAGAGUUGUAGAUGCUGUAUUCAUACAUAGAAAUUCAGCGUUUCAAGAUUGAACUUGUUUAGACGUAAACUAUUGAACUCUCAAAACAUGACUUCUUCAAAAUACAUGACUUCAAAUGUGGACAGAACACAAACAAGCAGAUUGAGAAUAUUACGUGAUGCCACACCAUUCUAAUAGAAGAGUUUGCAGUUUUAAUGGAUAUGUCGGAAUGUGAAAGAUUGCAGUGUA